GAUGAACGCUGGCGGCGUGCCUAAUACAUGCAAGUCGAGCGAACGGACGAGAAGCUUGCUUCUCUGAUGUUAGCGGCGGACGGGUGAGUAACACGUGGAUAACCUACCUAUAAGACUGGGAUAACUUCGGGAAACCGUAGCUAAUACCGGAUAAUAUUUUGAACCGCAUGGUUCAAAAGAGAAAGACGGUCUUGCUGUCACUUAUAGAUGGAUCCGCGCUGCAUUAGCUAGUUGGUAAGGUAACGGCUUACCAAGGCAACGAUGCAUAGCCGACCUGAGAGAGUGAUCGGCCACACUGGAACUGAGACACGGUCCAGACUCCUACGGGAGGCAGCAGUAGGGAAUCUUCCGCAAUGGGCGAAAGCCUGACGGAGCAACGCCGCGUGAGUGAUGAAGGUCUUCGGAUCGUAAAACUCUGUUAUUAGGGAAGAACAUAUGUGUAAGUAACUGUGCACAUCUUGACGGUACCUAAUCAGAAAGCCACGGCUAACUACGUG
RNAcentral lists this ribosomal RNA (497 nucleotides) under uncultured bacterium. RNAcentral describes it as "partial 16S ribosomal RNA". It matches the Rfam family "Bacterial small subunit ribosomal RNA", at positions 28 to 507 of the family's 1533-position model. The record is from RNAcentral.